CCGGCCGUAAACUCUGGGUACUAGGUGUAGGGGGCUUCGAUGCCUUCUGUGCCGUAGUUAACGCAUUAAGUACCCCGCCUGGGGAGUACGAUCGCAAGGUUGAAACUCAAAGGAAUUGACGGGGGCCCGCACAAGCGGUGGAGCAUGUGGUUUAAUUCGAUGCAACGCGAAGAACCUUACCAGGGCUUGACAUCUGCCUGACGGUCCUUGGAAACUUGGGCUUUCUUUCGGGACAGGUAGACAGGUGG
This 248-nucleotide ribosomal RNA is filed under the name uncultured Bacillota bacterium. RNAcentral's name for it is "uncultured Firmicutes bacterium partial 16S ribosomal RNA". It matches the Rfam family "Bacterial small subunit ribosomal RNA", at positions 796 to 1041 of the family's 1533-position model. The record is from RNAcentral. Lineage: Bacteria; Bacillati; Bacillota.